CAGUCUACCUGUCAUGUAAAUAACAUAUGGAGGAUUUCUCCCACAGUAUCCCACAGCCCAGUUUAUUUAAUGUAGUUUUUUUUAGAGUGUUGGCAUAAUAGUUUCUUUGUGGCGCUUCAUAUCAACGCGCUUUUGUUAAUUGCCAGCAGCUCAGAGAAAGCAGCAUUCCCUGCUCCGGUCGUCAGGGAUUUAGGGAAGGACUGAAUCCGAGCCCCGACUGAGACAAACAAUGGCAGCUAUGAAAGGCGAGGGGAGGGGUCGACCCAAUGCAAAUAUCCACUUUGUGCGCCCUGGAAAACCUGCACUAAACACUGACAACUACCAACUUCCACCCAAAGAAUUCGCUGAGCAAGUUCCUACAUGGAUUCAGUGAUUGUGCAACAAGUGGGGGACUUUCUUGGUGACAACCGGCACAAACGGGACGGUUUUAUGAGUCAGGACGCCGCAGCAUCACUGAUAUGUGCCAAGUGCACCUGCUGAACCACGAAACAGAGAGUCAACAAAGCAGUGCGUUUGAUGGAACAUGUCAGGUUCCUCCAGGACUUGGGGGCUGGUUCUCUUCUCUGGUUAGACAGCUGUCAGCACUACAGAGCUCAGAGAGCCACCGACUCUUCCAUGUGUUGUUGGAGACUUCAAAGCGGGAGAGGAGCAGA
Long non-coding RNA from Thunnus maccoyii (southern bluefin tuna), 653 nucleotides. RefSeq lists it as uncharacterized. NCBI's taxonomy places the organism in Eukaryota, Metazoa, Chordata, Actinopteri, Scombriformes, Scombridae. The transcript is spliced from 3 exons. The record is from RefSeq and is a predicted model, not a curated record.